RNAcentral lists this microRNA precursor (80 nucleotides) under Pteropus vampyrus (large flying fox). Its description in RNAcentral is "microRNA 1224 (ENSPVAG00000024810.1)". It matches the Rfam family "mir-1224 microRNA precursor family". Lineage: Eukaryota; Metazoa; Chordata; Mammalia; Chiroptera; Pteropodidae. The record is from RNAcentral.
GUGAGGACUCGGGAGGUGGAGGGUGGUGUUGCCAGGCCGUUGUCUCAGCUCACUUCUCCCCCCACCUCCUCUCUCCUCAG